RNAcentral lists this ribosomal RNA (322 nucleotides) under uncultured eukaryote. RNAcentral describes it as "partial 18S ribosomal RNA". It matches the Rfam family "Eukaryotic small subunit ribosomal RNA", at positions 1470 to 1796 of the family's 1831-position model. The record is from RNAcentral.
CCCUUAGAUGUUCUGGGCUGCACGCGCGCUACACUGAUGCAUCCAACAAGUAUUUUCCCUUGUCCGGUAGGACUGGGUAAUCUUUUUUGAGUAUGCAUCGUGAUGGGGAUAGAUUAUUGCAAUUAUUAAUCUUCAACGAGGAAUUCCUAGUAAGCGCGAGUCAUCAGCUCGCGCUGAUUACGUCCCUGCCCUUUGUACACACCGCCCGUCGCUGCAACUGAUUGGGUGAUCUGGUGAACAUCUUGGACUGACAAGUGCAAUUAUGCACUGGUUGGAAAAGGACGUAAAUCAGGUACAUCUAGAAAUUGCAAAAGUCGUAACA